GAAAUUCAACACCACAGCUAGAAAGAGCGUCUUAAAAUGAGUAAACCUGCAAAGAUUGGUUGCUAAAUGUUUUAAAAUGAAGAAAAUAUAGCCCUGUGAAAUUCGCAAAUUUUGUAUAUAUUUGUAUUACGCGCGGGAAAAAUAACCACUUUCCGCUCAAAAAUAUAUAUGCAAAAUUUGCGAACUUCACAAGGCUACAUUUUCCUCAUUUUACAACAACUUACAAGCAAACUUCGCAAUUUUACUCAUUUUAAGAUGCUCUUUCCAGCUAGGGUAAUGAACUUC
Molecule: non-coding RNA, 285 nt
Organism: Paramuricea clavata
Lineage: Eukaryota; Metazoa; Cnidaria; Anthozoa; Malacalcyonacea; Plexauridae
Source: the annotation of a GenBank genome assembly